This 276-nucleotide ribosomal RNA is filed under the name Triticum aestivum (bread wheat). Its description in RNAcentral is "partial small subunit ribosomal RNA". Lineage: Eukaryota; Viridiplantae; Streptophyta; Magnoliopsida; Poales; Poaceae. The record is from RNAcentral.
UUAUGUAUUCCUAAGCCAAUGGGAGGACUUGGUUUUCAUGACCCACAUUGAUUUAACCCUGCCAUGUAGUCACAGUAGGUAUGGCGCCUUCUUUGUGACCCUGAGUCCAUAUGUGCAAUAGUAUUGAGAACCAAAUAUUAUCUUGAUGGAAAACUUUUGAAUACAAAGAUGAAAAGUGGUGCAUCAUUCACUUGGCAGCGUAUCCUAGCUGGAGUGAAAACUUUUAAUAGUCUAUGUAUUUGGCAUGUCGGAGAGGGAACACUGAUCAACAUAUGA